RNAcentral lists this ribosomal RNA (2899 nucleotides) under Klebsiella pneumoniae. Its description in RNAcentral is "bacterial LSU rRNA". It matches the Rfam family "Bacterial large subunit ribosomal RNA". Lineage: Bacteria; Pseudomonadati; Pseudomonadota; Gammaproteobacteria; Enterobacterales; Enterobacteriaceae. The record is from RNAcentral.
UUAAGCGACUAAGCGUACACGGUGGAUGCCCUGGCAGUCAGAGGCGAUGAAGGACGUGCUAAUCUGCGAAAAGCGUCGGUAAGGUGAUAUGAACCGUUAUAACCGGCGAUGUCCGAAUGGGGAAACCCAGUGCAAUUCGUUGCACUAUCGUUAACUGAAUACAUAGGUUAACGAGGCGAACCGGGGGAACUGAAACAUCUAAGUACCCCGAGGAAAAGAAAUCAACCGAGAUUCCCCCAGUAGCGGCGAGCGAACGGGGAGCAGCCCAGAGUCUGAAUCAGCUUGUGUGUUAGUGGAACGGUCUGGAAAGUCCGACGGUACAGGGUGAUAGUCCCGUACACCAAAAUGCACAGGUUGUGAACUCGAAGAGUAGGGCGGGACACGUGGUAUCCUGUCUGAAUAUGGGGGGACCAUCCUCCAAGGCUAAAUACUCCUGACUGACCGAUAGUGAACCAGUACCGUGAGGGAAAGGCGAAAAGAACCCCGGCGAGGGGAGUGAAAAAGAACCUGAAACCGUGUACGUACAAGCAGUGGGAGCACCUUCGGGUGUGACUGCGUACCUUUUGUAUAAUGGGUCAGCGACUUAUAUUCUGUAGCAAGGUUAACCGUAUAGGGGAGCCGCAGGGAAACCGAGUCUUAACUGGGCGUUAAGUUGCAGGGUAUAGACCCGAAACCCGGUGAUCUAGCCAUGGGCAGGUUGAAGGUUGGGUAACACUAACUGGAGGACCGAACCGACUAAUGUUGAAAAAUUAGCGGAUGACUUGUGGCUGGGGGUGAAAGGCCAAUCAAACCGGGAGAUAGCUGGUUCUCCCCGAAAGCUAUUUAGGUAGCGCCUCGUGAACUCAUCUUCGGGGGUAGAGCACUGUUUCGGCUAGGGGGUCAUCCCGACUUACCAACCCGAUGCAAACUACGAAUACCGAAGAAUGUUAUCACGGGAGACACACGGCGGGUGCUAACGUCCGUCGUGAAGAGGGAAACAACCCAGACCGCCAGCUAAGGUCCCAAAGUCAUGGUUAAGUGGGAAACGAUGUGGGAAGGCACAGACAGCCAGGAUGUUGGCUUAGAAGCAGCCAUCAUUUAAAGAAAGCGUAAUAGCUCACUGGUCGAGUCGGCCUGCGCGGAAGAUGUAACGGGGCUAAACCAUGCACCGAAGCUGCGGCAGCGACACUAUGUGUUGUUGGGUAGGGGAGCGUUCUGUAAGCCUGCGAAGGUGACCUGUGAGGGUUGCUGGAGGUAUCAGAAGUGCGAAUGCUGACAUAAGUAACGAUAAAGCGGGUGAAAAGCCCGCUCGCCGGAAGACCAAGGGUUCCUGUCCAACGUUAAUCGGGGCAGGGUGAGUCGACCCCUAAGGCGAGGCCGAAAGGCGUAGUCGAUGGGAAACAGGUUAAUAUUCCUGUACUUGGUGUUACUGCGAAGGGGGGACGGAGAAGGCUAUGUUAGCCGGGCGACGGUUGUCCCGGUUUAAGCAUGUAGGCUGGUUAUCCAGGCAAAUCCGGAUAAUCAAGGCUGAGGUGUGAUGACGAGGCACUACGGUGCUGAAGUAACAAAUGCCCUGCUUCCAGGAAAAGCCUCUAAGCAUCAGGUAACAUCAAAUCGUACCCCAAACCGACACAGGUGGUCAGGUAGAGAAUACCAAGGCGCUUGAGAGAACUCGGGUGAAGGAACUAGGCAAAAUGGUGCCGUAACUUCGGGAGAAGGCACGCUGGUGUGUAGGUGAAGUCCCUGCGGAUGGAGCUGAGACCAGUCGAAGAUACCAGCUGGCUGCAACUGUUUAUUAAAAACACAGCACUGUGCAAACACGAAAGUGGACGUAUACGGUGUGACGCCUGCCCGGUGCCGGAAGGUUAAUUGAUGGGGUUAUCCGUAAGGAGAAGCUCUUGAUCGAAGCCCCGGUAAACGGCGGCCGUAACUAUAACGGUCCUAAGGUAGCGAAAUUCCUUGUCGGGUAAGUUCCGACCUGCACGAAUGGCGUAAUGAUGGCCAGGCUGUCUCCACCCGAGACUCAGUGAAAUUGAACUCGCUGUGAAGAUGCAGUGUACCCGCGGCAAGACGGAAAGACCCCGUGAACCUUUACUAUAGCUUGACACUGAACAUUGAGCCUUGAUGUGUAGGAUAGGUGGGAGGCUUUGAAGCGUGGACGCCAGUCUGCGUGGAGCCAACCUUGAAAUACCACCCUUUAAUGUUUGAUGUUCUAACGUUGGCCCCUGACCGGGGUUGCGGACAGUGUCUGGUGGGUAGUUUGACUGGGGCGGUCUCCUCCCAAAGCGUAACGGAGGAGCACGAAGGUUAGCUAAUCCUGGUCGGACAUCAGGAGGUUAGUGCAAUGGCAUAAGCUAGCUUGACUGCGAGCGUGACGGCGCGAGCAGGUGCGAAAGCAGGUCAUAGUGAUCCGGUGGUUCUGAAUGGAAGGGCCAUCGCUCAACGGAUAAAAGGUACUCCGGGGAUAACAGGCUGAUACCGCCCAAGAGUUCAUAUCGACGGCGGUGUUUGGCACCUCGAUGUCGGCUCAUCACAUCCUGGGGCUGAAGUAGGUCCCAAGGGUAUGGCUGUUCGCCAUUUAAAGUGGUACGCGAGCUGGGUUUAGAACGUCGUGAGACAGUUCGGUCCCUAUCUGCCGUGGGCGCUGGAGAAUUGAGGGGGGCUGCUCCUAGUACGAGAGGACCGGAGUGGACGCAUCACUGGUGUUCGGGUUGUCAUGCCAAUGGCACUGCCCGGUAGCUAAAUGCGGAAGAGAUAAGUGCUGAAAGCAUCUAAGCACGAAACUUGCCCCGAGAUGAGUUCUCCCUGAGACUUUAAGUCUCCUGAAGGAACGUUGAAGACGACGACGUUGAUAGGCCGGGUGUGUAAGCGCAGCGAUGCGUUGAGCUAACCGGUACUAAUGAACCGUGAGGCUUAACCU